AGAACGAACGCUGGCGGCGUGGAUAAGACAUGCAAGUCGAACGCGACUUAUCGAGUUAGCAAUAACUUGGUAAGUUGAGUGGCGAAAGGGUGCGUAACACGUGGGAAUUUACCGAGAAGUGGGGAAUAGCUCGACGAAAGUCGAAUUAAUACCGCAUACGAUCGCAAGAUCAAAGCCGGGGACCGCAAGGCCUGGCGCUUUUUGAGAAGCCCGCGGCCCAUCAGCUAGUUGGCGGGGUAAAAGCCCACCAAGGCUAUGACGGGUAGCUGGUCUGAGAGGACGACCAGCCACACUGGAACUGAGACACGGUCCAGACACCUACGGGUGGCAGCAGUCGAGAAUUUUUUCACAAUGGACGAAAGUCUGAUGGAGCGACGCCGCGUGGAGGAUGAAGGUUCUUGGAUUGUAAACUCCUGUCACUGCAGAACAAGGCUACACAUGUGAAUAGCGCGUGUAGUUGAUGGUAUGCGGAGAGGAAGGGACGGCUAACU
Molecule: ribosomal RNA, 491 nt
Filed under: uncultured bacterium
Lineage: Bacteria
Description: SSU rRNA
Rfam family: Bacterial small subunit ribosomal RNA
Source: RNAcentral